This 248-nucleotide long non-coding RNA is filed under the name Nicotiana benthamiana. Its description in RNAcentral is "long non-coding RNA (NBEN_LNC006975)". The record is from RNAcentral. Lineage: Eukaryota; Viridiplantae; Streptophyta; Magnoliopsida; Solanales; Solanaceae.
CAUUAGGAAGAGUGACAAGAUAUGGCAGAGUUAAAGGUGUGAUGUUAAAAAGUAAUUGUUUAUCAUGUGUCAUGUGAUUAGAGGCAUCUGAAUCUAUAAUCCAGGUGACAGAAUUAAUAUGAGUAAGCAAGCAAAGUUUGAAAUAAAAAAUAGGGUUCUCAGUUAACAUAAUACCAGCAAAGUUUGCAGCAUAUAUGGGAGGAGGAGUUUGAGCAGUGGAUUCCCAUAACUUGGUCUGGUGUAACAAG